This is a long non-coding RNA of Venturia canescens, 521 nucleotides long. RefSeq lists it as uncharacterized. The transcript is spliced from 3 exons. The record is from RefSeq and is a predicted model, not a curated record. NCBI's taxonomy places the organism in Eukaryota, Metazoa, Arthropoda, Insecta, Hymenoptera, Ichneumonidae.
CUAUGCGUAUCGAAUGAAAAAAGAGGAUUGAACCAGAUGUCUCUCUUACCGGAUGCAGUCAGAUUACUAUCGAUCGAGGGAUGCGAUCUCCUGAUAACACGGAAGCUUUUUGAAAGCGCAUACAAGUGAAACGAUGAUCGCUGAAGCAAGGGAAGCGCGUAUACGGACACCUGACGGAUGAUGCACAUAGAGUUGAAAAUUCUCGGGCUUUUGGCUCGAGGCCAUGUGAAGAUAGGGGCACAACAGGAACGACAGCAAUGCCACACGCCUCGUGUUUCGUUGAUGAAUAAUUAUUUUCAAGAGUAUGCAUUCUUCACCAGGCAUUUCUACUAUUCAUUGAAGAGAAGAAGAAUCCAUGGAAAUGGCUCGAUACGAUCUACCAUAGCAUCAGGCACAUUGUUUCGUACAUUCGCUAAGUCGGUCUUGAAAAUCUUAUUACAACGUGGUUCUUGAGAAAUCGUUGUUUCGCGUGCAUCAUUAAAUAUUUUCCUGGAAGAAUCUGUCAAGAAGAAAAUUGAAGG